This 91-nucleotide non-coding RNA is filed under the name Candidatus Gallionella acididurans. RNAcentral describes it as "Burkholderia RNA 7 (anti-hemB)". It matches the Rfam family "Burkholderia RNA 7 (anti-hemB)". From Rfam's summary of the family: This RNA motif was identified by computational search in b-proteobacteria Burkholderia. Co-purified with Hfq, expression confirmed by Northern blot. Lineage: Bacteria; Pseudomonadati; Pseudomonadota; Betaproteobacteria; Nitrosomonadales; Gallionellaceae. The record is from Rfam by way of RNAcentral.
GCGCACGUUUCUCCUCCCUGAGCGUGUUGUCUUAACCCCCUGUUAAGAUAUUUUGCCCUUGAUGCAGCAGCACGCUCAAGGGCAUUUUUUU